This 25-nucleotide transfer RNA is filed under the name Ipomoea nil (Japanese morning glory). RNAcentral's name for it is "partial tRNA-His". The record is from RNAcentral. Lineage: Eukaryota; Viridiplantae; Streptophyta; Magnoliopsida; Solanales; Convolvulaceae.
GCGGAUGUAGCCAAGUGGAUUAAGG